Long non-coding RNA from Conger conger (European conger), 342 nucleotides. RefSeq lists it as uncharacterized. The transcript is spliced from 3 exons. The record is from RefSeq and is a predicted model, not a curated record. Lineage: Eukaryota; Metazoa; Chordata; Actinopteri; Anguilliformes; Congridae.
UGAUGUGAUGUUCCAAACUGUUUUAUUUGUUGAAAGCCACGAGGACUGGAUGAAUUAGGAUUGGGCCUCACCCCUGGUCACACGUUUGGCUCCCCAGUGCUGUGUGCAGUCCUCUACCUCUUGCCUCCACCCGGCUCCCUCCCCGCUCCUGCCCCAUUGGAUGGUCUUCCUGGCAUCGACUCUUGGUCACUCUGGACCUCGUUCUGCCUGAUCUACAUAGCCCUAUCUGCCCAGCUUCUGACCUGUGCUAUCAUUACAAACUGCCUUGUCCUUGUUACUACUGAUUCCUGGUUAUUGACCCAGGACAGUACGACCAUGUCAAUAAAGCUACCUAUUCUGUCA